GAUUUUUUUUUUAAUUUUGUGAAUUUUUGGGAUUUUUGGGAAUUUUUGGGGGAAUUUUUUUGGGGGAAUUUUUGGGGUUUUUGGGGCGUUUGGGCUCAGGGUGGGGGAGGGGAGCUCUUACGGAAACGAACCCUCUGGAAAUCCGAGAUCUCCACCCCCGGCGCUGCUGGGAACGGCACCAGUAUGGACCAGUUUGAACCAGUUUGAACCAGUUUGAACCAGUUCGAACCAGUUUAAACCGGUUCAAACCAGUUUGAACCAGUAUAAACCCGUUUGAACCAGUAUAAACCGGUUUAAACCAGUUUAAACCAGUUUAGAAACCAGUUUGAACCAGUUUAAACCAGUUUAAACCAGUUUAGAAACCAGUUUGAACCAGUUUAAACCAGUUUAUUAAACCAGUUUAGAAACCAGUUUGAACCAGUUUAAACCAGUUUAGAAACCAGUCUGAACCCAUAUAAACCAGUUUGAAUCAGUUUAAACCGGUUUAAACCAGUUUGAACCAGUUUAAACCAGUUUAAACCAGUUCAAACCAGUUUAGAAACCAGUUUGAACCGGUUUAAACCAGCUUAAACCAGUUUAGAAACCACUGUGCACCGGUACAGACCAGUUUAAACCAGUUUAAACCAGUUUAAACCAGUGUGUACCAGUACAGACCAGUAUAAACCAGUUAAAAUCCAUAUAAACCAGUUUAAACCAGUUUAGAAACCAGUUUGAACCAGUUUAAACCAGUUUAAACCGGUUUAAACCACUGUGCACCGGUACAGACCAGUAUAAACCAGUUAAAACCCAUAUAAACCAGUUUAAACCAGUUUAAACCAGUUUAGAAACCAGUUUGAACCAGUUUAAACCAGUUUAAACCAGUUUAAACCACUGUGCACCGGUACAGACCAGUAUAAACCAGUUAAAACCCAUAUAAUUUAAACCACUGUGCACCGGUACAGACCAGUAUAAACCAGUUAAAACCCAUAUAAACCACUUCAAACCAGUUUAAACCAGCUUAAACCACUUUAAACCACUUUAAACCAGUUUGAACCAGUUUAAACCACUUUAAACCAGUUUGAACCAGUUUGAACCAGCUUAAACCAGUAUAAACCAGUAACAACCCCCCCCCAACAACCCCCUCCGGUGCCUCCCAGUACAGACCAGUAACCACCAGUGACCCCCAGCAGCCGCCAACCCCCUCCCAGUUCAUCCCAGUAACCCCAAA
This 1207-nucleotide long non-coding RNA is filed under the name Cyanistes caeruleus (blue tit). RNAcentral describes it as "lncRNA (ENSCCEG00000000678.1)". Lineage: Eukaryota; Metazoa; Chordata; Aves; Passeriformes; Paridae. The record is from RNAcentral.